Gasterosteus aculeatus aculeatus (three-spined stickleback) is the source of this 1554-nucleotide long non-coding RNA. NCBI's taxonomy places the organism in Eukaryota, Metazoa, Chordata, Actinopteri, Perciformes, Gasterosteidae. The record is from Ensembl.
GUUCUCCUAAUGUGCCGUACCUUGAAAGCUGAGUCAUGUCUGCAUGGUGUGUAGUGCUGCGUGCAGGAACUUCAUCAGUGAGCUCGUCGGUGGUCAGAUAGAUGUGAUCGGUGACUCGUUUCCUGGUCUCUCUAUACAUCGUGUUACCUUUAUCCAAAACAUGGUCCAGGUCUGCUCCGGUGAUGCUUUCAUUCUCAUGGAGGAAUGCAAGAAAGGUCAGUGAGUUACAGGUGCACUGCCGAUUUCUGGAUCUGCCGUAUCUGAUUGAAGCCUGGCUGUGGGAUGCACGGACAUGUUGUUCAGAAGGCUGAUCUUCAGGGUCUACACGGUCUGCAUUAGAAGGAUGAGACUCUGCAGACAUCUUUACCGCUCCACUGCUCUCAGGACCAACACAUUCUGCUCCGUCAGUCGUUGUUGCACAGGGAUUCUCUUUGGUCCGCUGCCAGCGCAGGCUCUGAGCUUGUGACCUCUUACUCUUUCUUGGCAUUGUUGUGUGUCAAAACCAAAAAUGUUAUUGUUUUACUUGUAUUGUACACAACCAAGGUACUAAACACAAUAUUAAAGGUAAAAUAGUAUUAUUAACAAAGCGGGAUGUAAGGAUAAAUUAAACGUAUGUCUGCUUUUUGGUAACACUUAGCAGUUUAAAUGCUUCAAAACUAUACUAUUUGUUAUGAUAUACCAAAAGCCAUUUCAGUAUCCAAGUAAAUGACUUUGUAGAAAAUCCCAGCCAGGAAAAUGUGAUGUCAAACGUAACACUAUAAAGAGAUCAAUAUCAAUGCUCAAAUUUGACUGUUCCUGAAAUACUAUAUUAUUUAUGUUUUGGUGUAUGUCAAAAAAUCUAUAUUUGAUUGUCAAAUCCAGUGACAGCAACUUUGAGUAUAUUCCUUAGUCUUAUUAUAUUAAGGCUAUAUCUAAAACCCUAAAUCAAACAAUUUUAGUUCAUAAAUACUGUGAGCAGGUAUAUACUGGAUCUGUGAACUUACUGACAGUAUAUAUUUGUUAAAUAUACUUCUAGAAGAAACCUUGACAAAUCUUUGGAAAUAUUUAUUCAAUAUAAAAUCUAAAGUUUAACACUGGACAACAACCAAAUAAAAAUAGGCUAUUUUAAAUGAUUGUGAGCCACCUAAAUCUCUUUUUAAUAAUGAAAUGUACUUAAUUAAAACUCUUAAGACUUGACAAAGUUAGAAAUGACUCUGAUAAAAAAGUUAAAAUGAUUUACUGAGGGAACCAAAUCUACAGUGCAGAAAUGGUAUGUAGUACAAUUCUAGACGCACUAGGACGAAAAUAUUCUGUUCACUUCAAAGUUUUGUGGAAUAUGUAAAUUUAAUUACACAUUUUGCACCAAUCCACAACCAGUAGUCCAAUGCCAGAUCUCUUCUGAUCCUUAACUGUUUGCACUUACCAGCAAGGAAUAUCUUCUAUAAUUAUCUAAUAUUAUUACUAUGAUAUGGUUUAUAUUCAAAUCGGGAACAGUUGUCGUGGCAGCUGAAUCCUUCUGAAGAAUGUUGGGUCUGUAGACAGGAAGCAGCAAUUCCAAAUAAAUCCUUUUCCUCC